CCUACGGGAGGCAGCAGUGGGGAAUAUUGGACAAUGGGCGAAAGCCUGAUCCAGCCAUGCCGCGUGUGUGAAGAAGGCCUUCGGGUUGUAAAGCACUUUCAGUGGGGAAGAAAGCCUUGGGGCUAAUACCCUCGAGGAAGGACAUCACCCACAGAAGAAGCACCGGCUAACUCCGUGCCAGCAGCCGCGGUAAUACGGAGGGUGCGAGCGUUAAUCGGAAUUACUGGGCGUAAAGCGCGGGUAGGCGGUCUGAUAAGCCGGUUGUGAAAGCCCCGGGCUCAACCUGGGAACGGCAUCCGGAACUGUCAGGCUAGAGUGCAGGAGAGGAAGGUAGAAUUCCCGGUGUAGCGGUGAAAUGCGUAGAGAUCGGGAGGAAUACCAGUGGCGAAGGCGGCCUUCUGGACUGACACUGACGCUGAGGUGCGAAAGCGUGGGUAGCAAACAGGAUUAGAUACCCUAGUAGUC
This 465-nucleotide ribosomal RNA is filed under the name Vreelandella stevensii. RNAcentral's name for it is "partial 16S ribosomal RNA". It matches the Rfam family "Bacterial small subunit ribosomal RNA", at positions 338 to 795 of the family's 1533-position model. The record is from RNAcentral. Lineage: Bacteria; Pseudomonadati; Pseudomonadota; Gammaproteobacteria; Oceanospirillales; Halomonadaceae.